GCGAACUGGUGAGUAACACGUGGGAAACCUGCCCACAAGCGGGGGAUAACACCUGGAAACAGAUGCUAAUACCGCAUAACAACUUGGACCGCAUGGUCCGAGUUUGAAAGAUGGCUUCGGCUAUCACUUCUGGAUGGUCCCGCGGCGUAUUAGCUAGAUGGUGAGGUAACGGCUCACCAUGGCAAUGAUACGUAGCCGACCUGAGAGGGUAAUCGGCCACAUUGGGACUGAGACACGGCCCAAACUCCUACGGGAGGCAGCAGUAGGGAAUCUUCCACAAUGGACGAAAGUCUGAUGGAGCAACGCCGCGUGAGUGAAGAAGGGUUUCGGCUCGUAAAACUCUGUUGUUAAAGAAGAACAUAUCUGAGAGUAACUGUUCAGGUAUUGACGGUAUUUAACCAGAAAGCCACGGCUAACUACGUGCCAGCAGCCGCGGUAAUACGUAGGUGGCAAGCGUUGUCCGGAUUUAUUGGGCGUAAAGCGAGCGCAGGCGGUUUUUUAAGUCUGAUGUGAAAGCCUUCGGCUCAACCGAAGAAGUGCAUCGGAAACUGGGAAACUUGAGUGCAGAAGAGGACAGUGGAACUCCAUGUGUAGCGGUGAAAUGCGUAGAUAUAUGGAAGAACACCAGUGGCGAAGGCGGCUGUCUGGUCUGUAACUGACGCUGAGGCUCGAAAGUAUGGGUAGCAAACAGGAUUAGAUACCCUGGUAGUCCAUACCGUAAACGAUGAAUGCUAAGUGUUGGAAGGUUUCCGCCCUUCAGUGCUGCAGCUAACGCAUUAAGCAUUCCGCCUGGGGAGUA
RNAcentral lists this ribosomal RNA (799 nucleotides) under uncultured bacterium. RNAcentral describes it as "bacterial SSU rRNA". It matches the Rfam family "Bacterial small subunit ribosomal RNA", at positions 98 to 882 of the family's 1533-position model. The record is from RNAcentral.